AGAGUUUGAUCCUGGCUCAGGACGAACGCUGGCGGCGUGCCUAACACAUGCAAGUCGAGCGGAGAUAUAAGCAAUUGUAUCUUAGCGGCGGACGGGUGAGUAACGCGUAGGCAACCUGCCCUAAAGAGGGGGAUAACACGGAGAAAUUCGUGCUAAUACCGCAUAAUAUGUUUUCAACGCAUGUUGAAAACAUCAAAGGAGUAAUCCGCUUUAGGAUGGGCCCGCGUCUGAUUAGCUAGUUGGUGAGGUAAAGGCUUACCAAGGCGACGAUCAGUAGCCGACCUGAGAGGGUGAUCGGCCACACUGGAACUGAGACACGGUCCAGACUCCUACGGGAGGCAGCAGUGGGGAAUAUUGCGCAAUGGGGGAAACCCUGACGCAGCAACGCCGCGUGGAGGAAGAAGGUCUUCGGAUUGUAAACUCCUGUCUUUGGGGACGAAGAAAUGACGGUACCCAAGGAGGAAGCCACGGCUAACUACGUGCCAGCAGCCGCGGUAAUACGUAGGUGGCAAGCGUUGUCCGGAAUUAUUGGGCGUAAAGGGCGCGUAGGCGGCACUUUAAGUCAGAUGUGAAAACCCGAGGCUUAACUUCGGGCGUGCAUUUGAAACUGGGGUGCUUGAGUGCAGGAGAGGAAAGCGGAAUUCCUAGUGUAGCGGUGAAAUGCGUAGAUAUUAGGAGGAACACCAGUGGCGAAGGCGGCUUUCUGGACUGUAACUGACGCUGAGGCGCGAAAGCGUGGGGAGCAAACAGGAUUAGAUACCCUGGUAGUCC
RNAcentral lists this ribosomal RNA (771 nucleotides) under uncultured bacterium. Its description in RNAcentral is "bacterial SSU rRNA". It matches the Rfam family "Bacterial small subunit ribosomal RNA", at positions 8 to 796 of the family's 1533-position model. The record is from RNAcentral.